This 77-nucleotide ribosomal RNA is filed under the name Paenibacillus arenilitoris. RNAcentral describes it as "Bacterial small subunit ribosomal RNA". It matches the Rfam family "Bacterial small subunit ribosomal RNA", at positions 1 to 77 of the family's 1533-position model. The record is from Rfam by way of RNAcentral. Lineage: Bacteria; Bacillati; Bacillota; Bacilli; Caryophanales; Paenibacillaceae.
AUUAUGGAGAGUUUGAUCCUGGCUCAGGACGAACGCUGGCGGCGUGCCUAAUACAUGCAAGUCGAGCGGAGUUAAUC